This 253-nucleotide ribosomal RNA is filed under the name uncultured bacterium. RNAcentral's name for it is "partial 16S ribosomal RNA". It matches the Rfam family "Bacterial small subunit ribosomal RNA", at positions 524 to 776 of the family's 1533-position model. The record is from RNAcentral.
GACGAACCGUGCGAACGUUGCUCGGAAUCACUGGGCGUAAAGCGCACGUAGGCGGAUUUGCCAGUCAGGGGUGAAAUCCCGGGGCUCAACCUCGGAACUGCCUUUGAUACAGCAAGUCUUGAGUUCGAGAGAGGUGGGUGGAAUUCCUAGUGUAGAGGUGAAAUUCGUAGAUAUUAGGAAGAACACCGGUGGCGAAGGCGGCCCACUGGUCCGGUACUGACGCUGAGGUGCGAAAGCGUGGGGAGCAAACAGG